GUGGGGAAUUUUGGACAAUGGGCGCAAGCCUGAUCCAGCAAUGCCGCGUGCAGGAAGAAGGCCUUCGGGUUGUAAACUGCUUUUGUACGGAACGAAACGGUCCGGGUUAAUACCCUGGGCUAAUGACGGUACCGUAAGAAUAAGCACCGGCUAACUACGUGCCAGCAGCCGCGGUAAUACGUAGGGUGCAAGCGUUAAUCGGAAUUACUGGGCGUAAAGCGUGCGCAGGCGGUGAUGUAAGACAGAUGUGAAAUCCCCGGGCUCAACCUGGGAACUGCAUUUGUGACUGCAUUGCUGGAGUGCGGCAGAGGGGGAUGGAAUUCCGCGUGUAGCAGUGAAAUGCGUAGAUAUGCGGAGGAACACCGAUGGCGAAGGCAAUCCCCUGGGCCUGCACUGACGCUCAUGCACGAAAGCGUGGGGAGCAAACAGGAUUAGAUACCCCGGUAGUCC
This 450-nucleotide ribosomal RNA is filed under the name uncultured bacterium. RNAcentral describes it as "bacterial SSU rRNA". It matches the Rfam family "Bacterial small subunit ribosomal RNA", at positions 354 to 796 of the family's 1533-position model. The record is from RNAcentral.